GACGAACGCUGGCGGCGUGCUUAACACAUGCAAGUCGAGCGAUGAAACUUCUUCGGAAGUGGAUUAGCGGCGGACGGGUGAGUAACACGUGGGCAACCUGCCUCAUAGUGGGGAAUAGCCUCUCGAAAGGGAGAUUAAUACCGCAUAAGAUUGUAGUUCCGCAUGGAACAGCAAUUAAAGGAUUUAUUCGCUAUGAGAUGGGCCCGCGGCGCAUUAGCUAGUUGGUGAGGUAACGGCUCACCAAGGCGACGAUGCGUAGCCGACCUGAGAGGGUGAUCGGCCACAUUGGGACUGAGGCACGGCCCAGACUCCUACGGGAGGCAGCAGUGGGGAAUAUUGCACAAUGGGGGAAACCCUGAUGCAGCAACGCCGCGUGAGUGAUGACGGUCUUCGGAUUGUAAAGCUCUGUCUUUAGGGACGAUAAUGACGGUACCUAAGGAGGAAGCCACGGCUAACUACGUGCCAGCCGCCGCCGUAA
Molecule: ribosomal RNA, 478 nt
Filed under: uncultured bacterium
Lineage: Bacteria
Description: partial 16S ribosomal RNA
Rfam family: Bacterial small subunit ribosomal RNA
Source: RNAcentral